This 334-nucleotide ribosomal RNA is filed under the name uncultured eukaryote. Its description in RNAcentral is "partial 18S ribosomal RNA". It matches the Rfam family "Eukaryotic small subunit ribosomal RNA", at positions 1470 to 1796 of the family's 1831-position model. The record is from RNAcentral.
CCCUUAGAUGUCCGGGGCCGCACGCGCGCUACACUGAAGGAAUCAGCGUGGCUUUCUCCCUGACCCGAAAGGGUUGGGAAACCCGUUGAAUCUCCUUCGUGAUAGGGAUUGGGGCUUGAAAUUGUCCCCCAUGAACGAGGAAUUCCCAGUAAGCGCGAGUCAUAAGCUCGCGUUGAUUACGUCCCUGCCCUUUGUACACACCGCCCGUCGCUACUACCGAUUGAACGGUUUAGUGAGGGCCUCGGAUUGGUCUCGGCCCGCUCUUUACCGGGCGGCGCCGUUGGUCGAGAAGACGCUCGAACUUGAUCGUUUAGAGGAAGUAAAAGUCGUAACA